GACGAACGCUGGCGGUGUGCUUAACACAUGCAAGUCGAACGGUAAGGCCCUUUCGGGGGUACACGAGUGGCGAACGGGUGCGUAACACGUGAGUAACCUGCCCUCAUCUCUGGGAUAACAGUCGGAAACGGUUGCUAAUACUGGAUAUGAGCUUGCAAGGCAUCUUGUGGGUUGGAAAGAUUUUUUUUGGUUGGGGAUGGACUCGCGGCCUAUCAGCUUGUUGGUGAGGUAGUGGCUCACCAAGGCUUCGACGGGUAGCCGGCCUGAGAGGGCGACCGGCCACAUUGGGACUGAGAUACGGCCCAAACUCCUACGGGAGGCAGCAGUGGGGAAUAUUGCACAAUGGACGGAAGUCUGAUGCAGCAACGCCGUGUGCGGGAUGACGGCCUUCGGGUUGUAAACCGCUUUCAAUUGUGACGAAGCUUUUUUGUGACGGUAGCAGUAGAAGAAGCACCGGCUAACUACGUG
This 468-nucleotide ribosomal RNA is filed under the name uncultured bacterium. Its description in RNAcentral is "partial 16S ribosomal RNA". It matches the Rfam family "Bacterial small subunit ribosomal RNA", at positions 28 to 507 of the family's 1533-position model. The record is from RNAcentral.